ACUAUUUAAUCGUUAAUUUAAACGGGUUGGAUGUGAUGUAAACACGAAAAACGCCCUUUGACCAAAUAGAACGUUAAAGUAGUCAGAUGAUCCUACCAAACUAUGUAGCAGGGAGAUUGAAACAUUGUACUACCAACACCCUACUACCCGGCCACAGUGGAAUGCACCGGACGCUUUUUCCCACCCCCGGAGAGCUAUGGACCAAUCGAAACCCAGCGUCCUGGAGCCCCUGUAGAACGCUGAACCAAUAGCGGACCACCUCAGCCUCUGUACCGCCGACCUCAAAGCCGGCCCACUGGAGGUGCACCGUGGCAACCAGGUGACGGAUGCGCCCCAGAGUUCCGAGCUCUGCCCAGUUUUGCAGAACCCUCCACUCAGCACUCAGCAGUUUUCCUGAAAAUUGAGAUCCCACUUACUAGUUUAUAAGAGACAAAGCUGUAUGAUGGGUCUGGAACUAAAGUUGAUGGGGAUGUGUUUGAGAAGGUGGUGAAACUGACAGUGUUUUCAAGCUCACACUGAACAAUGAUGCUAAAGAAUCUUCCCUGAUGAGUCCUGUCUCUGCCAGUUCUGUGAUGGGUGGUUCAGACCACGAGUCGGUUGAUACAAUCAUUUUGAGUGAGGAUGGAAGCCCCUCACGAAAGUGUCAAAGAUCUGAUGACGAAGCAAAAAAUCUAAUAGAGAGCAUACUGAAGAAAAAGCCAGGUGGAGAGGUUGUCAUCAAGGAAUACUCAAACUAAAAGCCUGCCUGACUGACUGCACCAGACGAAAGAUGAUCAACAUUCUUGUUUCGGCGAUGACAGAGACUCAUGGGACAUCACCACCGCGCAGUGUGAGAGAAACGUUUGCACCCUACACUGAAAAUGGAUAUGCAAGUAUACAUUAUGACUGAUAAAGGGCAUCUGCGUUUAAUUCAUCUGGUAUGGUAUCUGAGCAAAUGGGACUUGGUUAUUUGUUUUUUCUUUCAAGAUUAUUAACCAUGUUCAUUUUCAUAAGGAACAUUAUUACGACCCUAAUAGUGGAGAAGGGUACCUCUCGUAUAGAAUCAAAACCAUUCAGAGGAAUUUGGUUUCAUCAGAGAAACGGCCCACUCAACUAUACUCUGGAGGGCCUACUGCUGAGAGGGAGUCCAAGCCAUCCACUUUGGCUACCCUGAGUGAAGACCAGUGCCGAGAGGCCAUUUCUCUUAUGAAGCAUUCUUCUGAUGAAGAAACAGAAGAUGAGAUUGACCUUUGAGUACAGGAACAUGACCCACAACCCAAGUAAAUGCUCCACCAUCCUAUCCGAAUUUCCACGCUUUCUGGAUGUGAAGGGCUUGGUAAGACUUGUUUCAGAUUGAACAGGAUUGUGUGCUGCUGUUUGGAGUGGGAACAUCAGCCAAGGUUUUGGAGAGGUGGCCAACUACAUUCAAGCAAAAGAUCAUCAUGCUAAGCAAGGCCCUAAGCAAGGCCACUCAGGGAGCUGAACUUCAGGAGCUGAUCCAGAUGGCAGAAUCUGCAGUUGAUGAGGGAACUGACAUGAAUGCUUACGGAUGGGAAGGUGACCUUUCCUCCAUCCUUCUCCUGCUCCAUUUGAUUCCUCCUUCAUCACAAGGCCGCAAAAGACCAGGCAAGAUGUGUGCAUCUCAAGCUGAACAGCAUCUUGUGAUAUUCUAAAAGGCAGGAACCAGUAUCCAGGAGCACCUUGAUGCGAUUGACCAGAGCCGCCAACCAUAUCUUCUUGCAGUCGGGACCAGGAAGAGCAGCAUCCAUGCUUACUUCAUCAUCCUGGACAAGAGCGCCUUGCAAGUCAACGAGCGCUCUUGGUGCUUCGAUGAGCUUUUCAAGACUCACUUUGUUUUUGGUACUGCUUACAAUGCAAUGCUGCGCAACAUGUACACCUUCAUACAGACAACUGUGUACAUCAUAGACAUUGGGAAGGUUAAGGAGACUCCAAGGGUUGCUGAGCUCAGAGCUAGACCUCUGCACUAAUGCUGAUAUGUUUUGUUUGCCAUGCAAGUCAUGGAAGUACCAACUUGCUCGUAAGGCAUCUCAAGUUGAUGCAUGGAAUGUGCCCAGUUAGAACUCUUAGUUAGAAUAAAAUGUGGUCAAGCAGAUUGUUGUUGUGUAUUUGGUUGUCGUGUAUUUUCAGACUUUAGGAAGCAUUUGAACAGGGCACAAUCCCGAGACUGUCAAAUGUUGUUAAACGCUAACUUGAAUGCUAACUUGACAGCUGUUGAUAAUUAGCCAAGUAAUGCUGAUUUUCCUUCAAAUUCUAGUUGUAACCAUGUACCAAUAUCUAACAAGAACACACUUGAUAUGUGUGUGUCUGCUAUUGCACAGCUGCAGGUAUAGGUCAGACUGUAAAUAGUUUUGUAUCUUCCAUGGAAGAAGCAGUUCAAGAGAUACAGGGUCAAGCUAAUGCGACCGCUCUUACAUGUAUAUCUUCAAAAGACACACAAAUUGUCAGAGAAAUACAACAUUAUUUUCAGGAUAUUGAAAAUCCUUUCACAUUGUUGAAUUCAGUAUCAAAACGAAGUGCUUAUUUUAUACAAAAAUGGGGAACAAGUCAUCCAGUUGAGAGUCCUUGGUGUUAGAUUUGACAAUAGAAGAAACAACACUACUGGAACUUAUGAUCAAAUGGUCAUAACUGAUCCAUUUUCUUACAUUCCAAUUCUCCAGACAUUGCAGUUCAUUUUGAAGAACCCAAAUACAAGUGGCAUGUUUAACUCGGGGGACAAUUUAAAAAUUGAGUUUACUUUGAUUUGAAAGCUGGACUAUAUAUAGCCACUAUUGUAAAGUGGCUGUUCCACUGGAUGUCAGAAGGUGAAUUCACCAAUUUGUAAGUCGCUCUGGAUAAGAGCGUCUGCUAAAUGACUUAAAUGUAAAUGUAAAUGUAAGAGACAUCCUCUCUUUUCUAAAGAGUUGAAUUUCCAAUGCAUUUAUGAUGACUGACACUGCUAAUCCAUUGGGAUCAGAAAAGUGAAUUCACAAGUUGGGAGGUACAUACUUUACUUUGAGAAAUUUUACCCCAAAGUUUAAUUCAAUUUUGGUAAAUAUUCACUUAUGUGCAGUCUUCCAUACCCAGGACCUUAAACGUAGGGAUUUGAUUCCAUUCUUGAGCAAAUAGUUAGCGAUUUGAAAGUGCUUGAGACUGAAGGUAUUGAAGUUCCCUUCUUCGGUGGUUGUAUACAUGGCAGUAUUGUCCAAGUAACUGGAGAUAAUCUUGGUAUAUGUUGCCGGUUUGGUUUUGUGGAAUCAUUUAGUGCUCGUUGUUGUUGCCGUUUUUGCCUCACUGAGAAAGUGGAUUUUCAAACUGUGUUCUCUGAGGAUGACCCAAGAGUGACUUUACGAACAAAACACAUGCAACUCAGACCAUUGUCAAACUAUUCAGUCAAACCCAACACGGUGUGAAGCAUGCUUGCUUAUUGAACUCUCUCCAGUACUUCAAUACUACAGACAGCUUUUCUGUUGAUAUAAUGCAUGACAUUUUAGGAGUUGCACAAUUUGAGGUAAAACUUGUGUUACAGCAUAUACAAUCCAACUUUGUGACUGCUAAAGAUGUGCACGGAAGAGUUCAUUCAUUUAACUAUGGCUAUCGUCCACCUGCACUCAAAUUGGAUGAUGGGAGCAAUGAUUUGGGUCUAAAUGCUAUUCAGUCUUGGUGUCUUCUCUGUAAUUUGCCAUUGAUAUUUGGUGAUCUGGUACAGAAAUAUGAUAAAUACUGGCAGCUGCUUCUGUUACUACUACAAAUUGUAAAUAGUGUUUUCUCCUGUACUAACAGAGGGCAUGACUAUCUAUCUGAAGCACUUAAUUGCUGAACAUCUUAGGCUUUUCAAGUAUUUGUUUCCUGAUAGAAAUCUGUUACCGAAACACCAAUUCAUGAUACAUUAUCGUCGUUGUUUAAGGAACAUCGGGCCCAUUCUUCAUUCAUGCUGUAUGCGCUACGAGGCAAAACAUUAUUUCUUUAAAAAGCAACUGAAGUGUUUUAAGAAUGUCACUAUGACCUUAAUCAAGAAACACAAAUGACAUGGCAUAUAACUGGGAAACAUUGAGCCAGGAUGGACUAGCUAUAGGUUCAGGAAAGAUGUCACGGCUCAAUGACGUGAAAGAAAUCCAUGAGAUUGCUGCCAAGUUGAAUGUCUCAGUGCGCACACAUGUUUUGUCAGUUAAAUGGGUAAAGCCCCAUGGUACAGAAUAUCAUCUUGAUUUGGUCAUAUGUGGUGAAGUAGUCAUUGAAAUGCCACUAUUUUACAAAAUUAAGGCUAUUCUGAAAGAGGAAAAUGUUUUUUAGGUUGGGUCAGCUCUUGAAACCUUAUGUUUUGAUGAUCAUUUGCAUGCAUUCAAAGUUUUGAAGCAAAGUCCACCAUGCAAAGUAUUUCAUGUAAAUAACAUGUACCACAAACCUUUUCAUUUGCUCAUGUCAUAUGGAGCAAGUGAUUUUUUUGACAACAUUGUCCCCUACUGUCACUUGAUAACAGUUUAAGCCAGGGCUGAGACUUAUGGUUAGGUUGUGAGAAACAUGUUUUUAAUGUAAAUGUCAGCAUUUUCCAACAAACCUAUUGAUUUGCUCAUGUCAUAUGGAGCAAGGGACUCUUGACUACAUUCUACUGUCACUUGAUAGUUUAAGGCAGGGCUGGGACUUGUGGUUUGGUCAUAAUAAACAUAAUUGAAUGUUGAAACAGCUUUGCUUGAGUUUAUUGUGAAAUUCCAAGUGCUUUUCAAAAAUACCUUUUGCACUC
Molecule: long non-coding RNA, 4717 nt
Organism: Oncorhynchus masou masou (cherry salmon)
Lineage: Eukaryota; Metazoa; Chordata; Actinopteri; Salmoniformes; Salmonidae
Exons: 9
Source: RefSeq, a predicted model, not a curated record